AGAACCAAAAUCCAACACUACCUACGGCUGGUAUGUCUCUAGAUCAGCAGCAAAACGGAAAGAGAUCUAACUCGCGACUCCCUUUCCACAAUCCGAAUCCACAACAGCAGCAGCAGCCGAAGGAGAAGGAUCUGCAAAAAGUUUCAACAACUGGGUGUGAGAACUACUGCAAAAAGAAGUAGUCCUCAGUGAGUACCGCUACCGAUCUAAACGGCUCACCCACUAAGUCUACAAAAAAGUAUGCUCAAAGAUAGUAAAGAAAGCUGGAACAAAUCUAUAGUUAUAUGUCACUAUACUAUCAUAAUCCAACAUUAACUAUUUGUAGAAAAUGCAAUCUCUGACCCAAUCUCACUA
Molecule: long non-coding RNA, 354 nt
Filed under: Ananas comosus (pineapple)
Lineage: Eukaryota; Viridiplantae; Streptophyta; Magnoliopsida; Poales; Bromeliaceae
Description: long non-coding RNA (ACOM_LNC030675)
Source: RNAcentral